This is a long non-coding RNA of Dama dama (fallow deer), 1009 nucleotides long. RefSeq lists it as uncharacterized. NCBI's taxonomy places the organism in Eukaryota, Metazoa, Chordata, Mammalia, Artiodactyla, Cervidae. The record is from RefSeq and is a predicted model, not a curated record. The transcript has 3 exons.
AGCACCAGGCCUCCGGGGUGAAGUUAGCGGGGUAACUCCAGCGCCUCCCCUAAGCCUCAGCCUCCAUCUCUGGCCAGCUGUGGCUCAGGAUUUUCUGGCAAAGGAAGUCACCAUCAUCUGAUGCCUGCAGCUCAGCUAUUUCCUGGGACCCCAGAUGCGGAAACGGAGGCAUAGUUGGGAAUUUGGGAAUUUAACCUGAGCAGUCUGUCUCCAGCCUUCUUAAUUACCUACCUUUAAAGAAAUUAAAAGACGCUUGAUCCUUGGAAGAAAAGUUAUGACCAACCUAGACAUCUUAGUAAAAAGCAGAGACAUUAGUUUGCCGACAAAAGUCCGUCUUCUCAAAGCUAUGGUUUUUCCAGUCAUGUAUGGAUAUGGGAGUUGGACUAUAAAGAAAGCUAAGCGCCGAAGAAUUGAUGCUUUUGAACUGUGGUGUUGGAGAAGACUCUGGAGAGUCCCUUGGACUGCAAGGAGAUCCAACCAGUCCAUCCUAAAGGAGAUCGGUCCUGAGUGUUCAUUUGAAGCACUUGAAGAACGAAUUCAUAGGGCCUGGACUCCAUCUCACGCCUGUCUGUGCUGAUCAUGUGCGGCCACCGCUCCAGUGGACUCUGAACUCUGUGCUUAGCGCCUGUGGGAAUGACAAUGGAAGGAUAAGACCCCCCCCCCUCUGGGCAGGGGAAUCUUGAAGAAGAGAAAACAGACACUAAUCACCCCUGCCUCCGGACACUAUCUAUCAGAAUGUAAGCACAGGCUUAUCGGUUAUUAACUAUUUGGAAUGUAACUGCGGGCUUAUUGAUUAUUGACUGAACACAAAACACAUGAAUGAUGGGGUUAUUGUAGUUGUAUUUACCCUUCCUUUAUUUAUGUAAGUCUUAAAGGAAUUGGGGUAGUGGGUUUGGACGCGUACACAUGGGGUAUAAAAGAUUUUCACAAAUGCUGGUCGGGGUCCUUGGCUAAGAGCAGACUCUGCCUUGGGCCCGCCGGUGUAAUAAACUGCACUCCACUAUCUGCA